RNAcentral lists this transfer RNA (72 nucleotides) under Loxodonta africana (African savanna elephant). It matches the Rfam family "tRNA". Rfam says of the family: Transfer RNA (tRNA) molecules are approximately 80 nucleotides in length. Their secondary structure includes four short double-helical elements and three loops (D, anti-codon, and T loops). Lineage: Eukaryota; Metazoa; Chordata; Mammalia; Proboscidea; Elephantidae. The record is from Rfam by way of RNAcentral.
GCCUUGGUGGUGCAACGGUUAAGCACUUGACUGCUAACUAAAAGGUUGGUGGUUCAAACCCACCCAACAGCA